UCCUUUUCACCUGCAACGAAAAUGUAGUUUUGACUUUUCGUGACUGUGAAACCUCCGUACGCCAACUCGGUAAACAGUCCAGUUUCCCGUCUAUCUACCAAUACAGAUAAUGUUUGCAUUAUAUAUUAUAUAUAUAUACACGCACAUACACGCGCGCAGUCAUCUAGACGCAUCCAUAGCUGGAAGAUUCAUCAGAGUUGAGAGGAUACGAUUCCCAAUUUCUGAUAGUAUAUGCAGCAGAAGAGAAGAAGAUAUCGAGCAGGAAUAAGGUGUGGGAAUGGAGGUGAAAAGGCGGGCAGUGAAGAAUUUGGUGACGAAGCUGGGUUCGGUUUCGGAGCGGAGCCGGACGGAAGCCAUCUGCGAGCUGCGAAUCAUUUCGAAGAACGACGCGGAGAGUCGGCCGUUGAUCGCCGACGCCGGCGCAAUCCCUUUCCUCGCGGAAUCGCUAUAUUCCUCCGAUAAAGACUGCCAGGAGAACGCCACCGCCGCCUUGCACAACCUCUCUAUCUCAUCCAAGGAUGCGCUCAUAUCCACGCGCGGACUCCUCGACGCGCUCUCCCACGCCCUCAGAAACCCUAGCUCCGCCUUCACCGCCCAGUGCGCCGCCUCCGCCAUCUUCAGUCUCCUCACCGUGGAGGACUACCGGCCCAUCAUCGGCCACAAGCGGGACAUCGUCUUCGGCCUAAUCGACAUCGCGAGAAACCCUAAUUCAGCUUCUAGGUCAAUCAAGGAUGCGCUCAAGGCGCUUUUCGGGAUCGCGCUCUACCCUCUUAAUCGGUCCCAAAUCAUCGAGCUCGGGGCCGUCCCGGCGCUGUUCUCGCUGGUCUGCAAUGACGGUAGGGUAGGGAUUCUAGAAGACGUCACCGCCGUGAUCGCCCAAAUUGCAGGCUGCGAGGAGAGCUGGGAGGCGUUCAGAAAGGUUUCCGGCGUCGGAGUCUUGGUGGAUUUGCUGGACAAUUCCACCGGAUCAAGCAAUCGGACCAAAGAGAACGCGGUUUCCGCACUAUUGAAUUUGGUACAAUGCAGUGGGAAAGAGGUCACCGAGAGCAUCCGGGGACUGGUUUUAGGCGCAGUGGAUGGUAUUAUUGAAGUGGCGGAGAAUGGAAGCGACAAGGGGAGGAGCAAAGCCAUGGCAUUGUUGAAGCUUCUUGAUGUUAGCAGCUGUGAAUUCUAAGGGGUAAAGAUUCAAACGUUUUCAUGCCACUCUUCUUCAAGUUAUUUGUAGACUUAUAGCAGAGUUAUGUAAGGUCAGAGAGGAGUUUAAAAUAUGCGGUGAAGUGUGGAAGAAUGGAAGAUUAUGAACGCCCAGUUCAGGUGUACAGUUGUGUUGCUUAUCGUGUUUUGUACUGCUUAUAUGCUCUCUCAGUUUCAUACCUGUGCAACAAUCUAUGGCAUUAGUCAUUCUAAAAGACUAUCUCAAUCAUUAUCUUGUGAUCACUAUAGCAUUUGGUGCUAGGAAUUAGUCAAACUAAGUGGGGUCAUUGAGUUGAUUACAGCAGAACUCAACACUAUGAUCUAAGAGCUUGAGAGCAAUUGAAUUAUGAUGAAGCUUCAGUGACUGGUUUUGAUUCUUAAAGUGAAUGGAAUGAUGUCAGCAUAAUAUCUUCCAGACAGUGCAAUGUAAUAAGAUGAGCACUGAGCAGAGUAGUUUUGGGAUCUUGGAUUUGAGUGUUUUUGUUAUUAUUCUCUUUCCAUGGUGAUGCCAGGAUCAGCCAAUGAUAUUAGUUUAGUUGAUUCAACUUGUAAGUGAUUAGAUGAUUGGGGGCUAAUAUACUUUGUAAUGAAGUGAUUGAGGAUGUAUUCCGGUUCAACUAAAAGUUUAAGACUGCAGAUAUAUGUUUAUA
Ipomoea nil (Japanese morning glory) is the source of this 1844-nucleotide RNA transcript. It is a transcript of the gene named protein spotted leaf 11, with no coding region annotated. The transcript is spliced from 2 exons. The record is from RefSeq and is a predicted model, not a curated record. NCBI's taxonomy places the organism in Eukaryota, Viridiplantae, Streptophyta, Magnoliopsida, Solanales, Convolvulaceae.